GGUCUGAAUCUCUGUGGGAUGUUGAUCAAUGAGAGAGGAACAGCCUGAAAACACGUUUCCCAAGAGGAACGGCAGCUUCGAACUGGCAGAUCAAAUGCUGCUGUGUUUUUCUGAGGUGUCUUAGGAGAAUGAAUCCUCAAAUUGAAAUACGACUCUUUUUUUCAGCUCCUCUGACACCGACAAGAUAAACCGUGUUUUCAGACAGACCAGAGCAAAUAGAAGCACCGCUGACAAUAUUUCUAACAAUCAUCCACUUCAAGUGUCCUCGCUGCUGCCAGCGUUACCAUGGAAACCAGCAUCAGCACCGCAACACCGUCCGUCUCAGUCGUCAGUCUGGAGAUCAUGUCUGAGAUCAGUCAGAAAGCGACGCUCGUGACCCCGAGCUCUGGGUCGUCAUGGUGAGGACGGUGGUGAUGCCGAGCGCGACCCGAGCCGGAGCGGCGUCCAUGUUGAUCCAGAAGGAGACCCAGGAGAGGAUGACGAUGAGGAGGCUGGGGAUGUACAUCUGGAUCAGGUAAUAUCCCAUCUGCCUCUCCAGGUGGAACUUCACCUCGAUACAUGUGAACUUCCCUAAACAUGAGCCGACACAGACAAACACAGA
Molecule: long non-coding RNA, 601 nt
Organism: Ctenopharyngodon idella (grass carp)
Lineage: Eukaryota; Metazoa; Chordata; Actinopteri; Cypriniformes; Xenocyprididae
Exons: 3
Source: RefSeq, a predicted model, not a curated record